RNAcentral lists this ribosomal RNA (502 nucleotides) under uncultured bacterium. RNAcentral's name for it is "partial 16S ribosomal RNA". It matches the Rfam family "Bacterial small subunit ribosomal RNA", at positions 28 to 507 of the family's 1533-position model. The record is from RNAcentral.
GACGAACGCUGGCGGCGUGCCUAAUACAUGCAAGUCGAACGAACCGCGACUAGGUGCUUGCACUUGGUCAAGGCGAGUGGCGAACGGGUGACUAACACGUGGGUAACCUACCUCAUAUUGGGGGAUAACAGUCAUAAACGAUUGCUACUACCGCUUAAUACAUAGGAUCACAUCAUCCGUUGAGGAAAGUUGUCGCAAGCUUUCUCUAAGAGAUGGCCCCGCGGUGCAUUAGCUAGUUGGUAGGGUAUAGGCCUACCAAGGCGAUGAUGCAUAGCCGACCUGAGAGGGUGAUCGGCCACAUUGGGACUGAGACACGGCCCAAACUCCUACGGGAGGCAGCAGUGGGGAAUCUUCCGCAAUGGACGAAAGUCUGACGGAGCAACGCCGCGUGAGUGAAGAAGGUCUUCGGAUCGUAAAGCUCUGUUGUUAGAGAAGAACAAAGGAUAGAGUAACUGUGAUGCUUGUGACGGUAUCUAACCAGAAAGCCACGGCUAACUACGUG